This is an RNA transcript of Vicia villosa (hairy vetch), 1875 nucleotides long. RefSeq lists it as uncharacterized. The record is from RefSeq and is a predicted model, not a curated record. The transcript has 3 exons. NCBI's taxonomy places the organism in Eukaryota, Viridiplantae, Streptophyta, Magnoliopsida, Fabales, Fabaceae.
UUGAAACCCAUUUCUCUCUCUUCUUCCUCAUUUUCCUUCUUUUCAUCAACUCUCUCUGUCUUCUCUCUCUUUCCCCUCAAACCCUAUGUCCGCCGCCGCCCCUUUCUCUCCCGUAUCUACGACUACUACCAACGUAAAAACCAUUUUCGUACGCCUGCUCAUUCAACGUAUAUCACCACUUUAAAUUUGACAAAUUCUAACAAUUUAUUUACAUGUUUUGUGUUUUAUUCUGAAUAAUAUUUGUGGGUUGUGUUCUAAGUGUUUAUUCAAAUGAAAUCGGAUCAAAGUUUAUCUCUUUUUCAUAUAUGUUAUUUUCUUUAUUUUUCUCAUCAUAGUGGUUUCGGCGACGAUCUACAAUGGCUUCUCCUUUUUCUUUUUUGUUUUUGUUUUCCAAUGGCUGUUGUUUGGAUUUUUUAAUUUUGAAUUUGACUGGAUAUGUUUUGUGUGAGGAGUUAUUAGGUAUGGUAGAAAUGAUUUUCAGGUCAAAUGGUGUUGGUAAUUAUUUGUAGUUUUUAACAUAUUUUGAUGCAUUUCAUGUUUAGUUAUUUUCAGAUCUGGCAAUAUAUGAUACCUCAGAGAUGAAACGCAUUCGGCUGGUGUUGUUUGUUUGAUAAAACUCGAGACUUCUGUGACUGUUGCAGGGUGUAAUGGUGAUUCUGGGUAUUCAACUGAAUGCGGUGUCUGCCAUGGAAAUUACUUUAGCUUGUGGAAAUUACUUUAGUCCCCCUAUUAAAAAAAUGCAUGUUUACUUUUGCUGGUGUUUGAGGUAAUUUUAUACAACUUCAACUAAUUCUUGUAAUUUCUAAUUUAUUUCCAUUCAUUUCUAAACUAAAACUAUGUCAUCUCUUGCUCUAACUUUUGCUUAUGUACUUGUGGGAAUUAAUUAGACUUGGUACUGUAAGAGAUAAAUGUGUGAAAUUUAUUUUGCCAUUAGAGGAGCUUCUAAUAAUUGUACAGAAAAUUAGCUUUCCUUUGGAUGCAAUAAACAAAGAAAUAAGUCAAAAUUAUGUUGUUUAAACAGAGUUAGCAUGAAGAAUCUAGAAGUAUAAAGAAAAAUGCAUUUAAUUAUAAUGAAUUGUUGAGUUUUGAAUGAUAAAACCAAGUUAUUUAGAUGUGUAUAAUCAUAUUUUGUUCUUAAUUGGACUUUACACAACCAAAAGAUACUUGGAAGAUGUUUUUGCCCUUAGACAGGGCAUUCCUUUUCGGCGCAUCUGCCGUGGUGUUGGGAGGACAACCCAAGCUCAGUCAUUCCAAUGGGCAAGGAUGCUGGUCUACGAAGUUUGCUAAAUUUAUUUUUGAUUUGCUUAAGAAUGCUAAGAGCAAUGGGAGCAAUACUAAAGUAUGUCUUUUGUAUUUUAAGUUUGAUAUUGACUUUCAUAUUGUAGUUUGAUAUUUUUAACCAACUUUUAAUCACAUUGUUCUAUUAAUUGUCUACUUCCAAUUAAAAGGUUUGGAUGUGGAUGUACUCUUUGUUUCUCAUAUGCAGGUCAAUCAAGCUCGAAUGCAAAGACGUCGUACUUACAGGGCUCAUGGAAGCACUCUUUGUUUCUCAUAUCCAAAUGACAUCUAUGUCCUCGGGGAUGUUGUGUUUGAGAGGGUGUUUAAUGUUGUAUAUUCAGCCUUGCCGGUGUAUUUGAUUUUGCCAGGUGUUGCUGUAUUGUUGCAGUUUCUGGUUUCUUUUUGUUGAUUGUUAGCAUUUUAAAACAGUUUGUUUGGUUCUUUGACAUGUCUUAGGUCUGAGUUUAUAUAUUUUCUGUUGUUUUAAAAAAAUGAUUCAUACUGUUAGAAGUCAUAUGGUUAUAUAAAUAUAUCAUAAACCAUUUGUUUGUUUAUUAUAUAUGGUUAUAUAAAUAUAUCAUACUGUUAGAAUGUCAA